UUACCACUUUGUGAUUCAUGACUGGGGUGAAGUCGUAACAAGGUAACCCUAGGGGAACCUGGGGUUGGAUCACCUCCUUA
Ribosomal RNA from Rheinheimera sp. SA_1, 80 nucleotides. It matches the Rfam family "Bacterial small subunit ribosomal RNA", at positions 1454 to 1533 of the family's 1533-position model. Lineage: Bacteria; Pseudomonadati; Pseudomonadota; Gammaproteobacteria; Chromatiales; Chromatiaceae. The record is from Rfam.